This 253-nucleotide ribosomal RNA is filed under the name uncultured bacterium. Its description in RNAcentral is "partial 16S ribosomal RNA". It matches the Rfam family "Bacterial small subunit ribosomal RNA", at positions 524 to 776 of the family's 1533-position model. The record is from RNAcentral.
UACAGAGGUCUCAAGCGUUGUUCGGAUUCAUUGGGCGUAAAGGGUGUGUAGGCGGCUUGGCAAGUUGGAUGUGAAAGCCCACGGCUCAACCGUGGAAGCGCACCCAAAACUGCUUCGCUCGAGUCUCGGAGAGGAAGGUGGAAUGCUUGGUGUAGAGGUGAAAUUCGUAGAUAUCAAGUAGAACACCUGCGGCGAAGGCGGCCUUCUGGACGAUGACUGACGCUGAGACACGAAAGCGUGGGGAGCAAACAGG